Cygnus olor (mute swan) is the source of this 563-nucleotide long non-coding RNA. RefSeq lists it as uncharacterized. The record is from RefSeq and is a predicted model, not a curated record. The transcript is spliced from 2 exons. Lineage: Eukaryota; Metazoa; Chordata; Aves; Anseriformes; Anatidae.
GGGCUCCUCCUGUGGUUUCUCUCCAUGGGGGCUGUAGGAGGCAAGGCUGCUCCCACCCUCCCUUCGCAUGUCCAUACAUCUGUCAAAACACCUGACCCUCCACAUCACACCCAGGUUUCUGAAGCUCUUCUGCAUCAACUACAAUAAAUCCAGAACGGGUAGAAAGUGUGGAUUUUACUAAGAUUUUUUUUCCUAAUCCAAAGUCAGCUUAACUCACAGCGACAAUAUGAACAGUGCUGCUAUCACUGCCAGUGCCAAAUUCUUCUGCAGGUCUCCGUGGCAGGCCAAUUUCUUACUGAAGGAGGAACUCAGCAGGGGAAGACUCACGGCAUCUCCACGGGCAUACAGAAAACCACCUCUGACUCUCUAACAAAGCACACCUGAAAAAAAAUCCUAGGUCUACUUAUCAGCAAUUAUUCCCUCUAAGAAGAGAGCACCAGGAGAGAGAAGCCCAUUUCUAGGACAAAGUAUUCCUUUAAAACUCAGCCAGACUAAUUCAGCCAUUCACUUCUGCCACUGAAAUGAAAUAAAAAGAGUUUUAAUCUGUCUGCAUGAACACUUGU